UCAGGUAGGGAUACCCGCUGAACUUAAGCAUAU
Molecule: ribosomal RNA, 33 nt
Filed under: Alternaria brassicae
Lineage: Eukaryota; Fungi; Ascomycota; Dothideomycetes; Pleosporales; Pleosporaceae
Also listed under: 2 other names
Description: partial 28S ribosomal RNA
Source: RNAcentral